UGCAGUCGAGCGAUGAUCAGGAGCUUGCUCCUGUGAUUAGUGGCGAACGGGUGAGUAACACGUGAGUAACCUGCCCCUGACUCUGGGAUAAGCGUUGGAAACGACGUCUAAUACUGGAUAUGACUUCCGGCCGCAUGGUCUGGUUGUGGAAAGAUUUUUUGGUUGGGGAUGGACUCGCGGCCUAUCAGCUUGUUGGUGAGGUAAUGGCUCACCAAGGCGACGACGGGUAGCCGGCCUGAGAGGGUGACCGGCCACACUGGGACUGAGACACGGCCCAGACUCCUACGGGAGGCAGCAGUGGGGAAUAUUGCACAAUGGGCGAAAGCCUGAUGCAGCAACGCCGCGUGAGGGAUGACGGCCUUCGGGUUGUAAACCUCUUUUAGUAGGGAAGAAGCGAAAGUGACGGUACCUGCAGAAAAAGCACCGGCUAACUACGUGCCAGCAGCCGCGGUAAUACGUAGGGUGCAAGCGUUGUCCGGAAUUAUUGGGCGUAAAGAGCUCGUAGGCGGUUUGUCGCGUCUGCUGUGAAAUCCCGAGGCUCAACCUCGGGCUUGCAGUGGGUACGGGCAGACUAGAGUGCGGUAGGGGAGAUUGGAAUUCCUGGUGUAGCGGUGGAAUGCGCAGAUAUCAGGAGGAACACCGAUGGCGAAGGCAGAUCUCUGGGCCGUAACUGACGCUGAGGAGCGAAAGCAUGGGGAGCGAACAGGAUUAGAUACCCUGGUAGUCCAUGCCGUAAACGUUGGGCGCUAGAUGUAUGGACCUUUCCACGGUUUCUGUGUCGUAGCUAACGCAUUAAGCG
RNAcentral lists this ribosomal RNA (799 nucleotides) under Curtobacterium sp. Its description in RNAcentral is "bacterial SSU rRNA". It matches the Rfam family "Bacterial small subunit ribosomal RNA", at positions 56 to 866 of the family's 1533-position model. The record is from RNAcentral. Lineage: Bacteria; Bacillati; Actinomycetota; Actinomycetes; Micrococcales; Microbacteriaceae.